Molecule: ribosomal RNA, 1311 nt
Filed under: metagenome
Description: bacterial LSU rRNA
Rfam family: Bacterial large subunit ribosomal RNA
Source: RNAcentral
ACGCGAGGUUCCAGCCGCCCGUACCCCAAACCGACUCAGGUGGUCAGGUAGAGAAUACCAAGGAGAUCGAGAGAAUCGUGGUUAAGGAACUCGGCAAAAUGCCCCCGUAACUUCGGGAGAAGGGGGGCCAUCCACUUAUUAGGAUUUACUCCGAAAGGGUGUGGUGGCCGCAGAGACUAGUGGGUAGCGACCGUUUACUAAAAACACAGGUCCGUGCCAAGUCGCAAGACGAUGUAUACGGACUGACGCCUGCCUGGUGCUGGAAGGUUAAGAGGACCGGUUAGCCGCAAGGCGAAGCUGAGAAUUUAAGCCCCAGUAAACGGCGGUGGUAACUAUAACCAUCCUAAGGUAGCGAAAUUCCUUGUCGGGUAAGUUCCGACCUGCACGAAUGGCGUAACGACUUCCCAACUGUCUCAGCCGCGAACUCGGCGAAAUUGCAUUACGAGUAAAGAUGCUCGUUACGCGCAGCAGGACGGAAAGACCCCGUGACCUUUACUACAGCUUGGUAUUGGUGUUCGGUGUGGCUUGUGUAGGAUAGGUGGGGGACUGUGAAGCAUGGACGCCAGUUCAUGUGGAGUCAUUGUUGAAAUACCACUCUGGUCACUCUGGAUAUCUAACUUCGAACCGUAAUCCGGUUCAGGGACAGUGCCUGGUGGGUAGUUUAACUGGGGCGGUUGCCUCCCAAAAAGUAACGGAGGCGCCCAAAGGUUCCCUCAACCUGGUUGGCAAUCAGGUGGCGAGUGUAAGUGCACAAGGGAGCUUGACUGUGAGACUGACAGGUCGAGCAGGGACGAAAGUCGGGACUAGUGAUCCGGCAGUGGCUUGUGGAAGCGCUGUCGCUAAACGGAUAAAAGGUACCUCGGGGAUAACAGGCUGAUCUUGCCCAAGAGUCCAUAUCGACGGCAUGGUUUGGCACCUCGAUGUCGGCUCGUCGCAUCCUGGGGCUGGAGUAGGUCCCAAGGGUUGGGCUGUUCGCCCAUUAAAGCGGUACGCGAGCUGGGUUUAGAACGUCGUGAGACAGUUCGGUCCCUAUCCGCUGCGCGCGUAGGAAGUUUGAGAGGAUCUGACCCUAAUACGAGAGGACCGGGUUGGACGAACCUCUGGUGUGCCAGUUGUUCCGCCAGGAGCACCGCUGGUUAGCUACGUUCGGGAUGGAUAACCGCUGAAAGCAUCUAAGCGGGAAGCCGGCCUCAAGAUGAGACUUCCAUACCUUCGGGUGAGAGGCUCCCAGCCAGACUACUGGGUUGAUAGGCCAGAUGUGGAAGCACGCCAGCGUGUGCAGCUGACUGGUACUAAUAAGCCGAUGACUUG